RNAcentral lists this ribosomal RNA (497 nucleotides) under uncultured bacterium. Its description in RNAcentral is "partial 16S ribosomal RNA". It matches the Rfam family "Bacterial small subunit ribosomal RNA", at positions 28 to 507 of the family's 1533-position model. The record is from RNAcentral.
GAUGAACGCUGGCGGCGUGCCUAAUACAUGCAAGUCGAGCGAACAGAUGAGGAGCUUGCUCCUCUGACGUUAGCGGCGGACGGGUGAGUAACACGUGGAUAACCUACCUAUAAGACUGGGAUAACUUCGGGAAACCGGAGCUAAUACCGGAUAAUAUAUUGAACCGCAUGGUUCAAUAGUUAAAGACGGCUUUGCUGUCACUUAUAGAUGGUUCCGAGCCGAAUUAGCUAGUUGGUAAGGUAACGGCUUACCAAGGCAACGAUGCGUAGCCGACCUGAGAGGGUGAUCGGCCACACUGGAACUGAGACACGGUCCAGACUCCUACGGGAGGCAGCAGUAGGGAAUCUUCCGCAAUGGGCGAAAGCCUGACGGAGCAACGCCGCGUGAGUGAUGAAGGUCUUCGGAUCGUAAAACUCUGUUAUUAGGGAAGAACAAAUGUGUAAGUAACUAUGCACGUCUUGACGGUACCUAAUCAGAAAGCCACGGCUAACUACGUG